Molecule: ribosomal RNA, 481 nt
Filed under: uncultured bacterium
Lineage: Bacteria
Description: partial 16S ribosomal RNA
Rfam family: Bacterial small subunit ribosomal RNA
Source: RNAcentral
GACGAACGUUGGCGGCGUGCUUAAUACAUGCAAGUCCACUGAAGCAGUGGUAGCAAUAUCGCUGUGGAGGUGGCGCACGGGUGAGUAACACGUAGGUAAUCUGCCUUCAGAUCUGGCAUAACUCCGGGAAACCGGGGCUAAUAGCAGAUGAUGCAGCGGCUCGACAUCGAGACAGUUGUUAAAGCUAUGGCGCCUGAAGAUGAGCCUGCGUCUGAUUAGCUAGUUGGCGGGGUAACGGCCCACCAAGGCAACGAUCAGUAGCUGGUCUGAGAGGAUGAUCAGCAACACUGGAACUGAGACACGGUCCAGACUCCUACGGGAGGCAGCAGUAAGGAAUAUUGCUCAAUGGGAGAAAUCCUGAAGCAGCAACGCCGCGUGAGGGACGAAGGGCUUUGGCUUGUAAACCUCUGUAGUGAGAGAAAAAAAUCCCAAUCUUUGGGACAUGAUGGUAUCUCAAAAGUAAGCCCCGGCUAACUACGUG